Long non-coding RNA from Bombus pascuorum, 421 nucleotides. RefSeq lists it as uncharacterized. Lineage: Eukaryota; Metazoa; Arthropoda; Insecta; Hymenoptera; Apidae. The transcript is spliced from 3 exons. The record is from RefSeq and is a predicted model, not a curated record.
GUGUUGCAAUAGUUCAGUAUCGAUACAUCGCUCGUUAUUUGAACAUGAUGCUACUACAGAUUAUAAACGAAUGUAACAUUAAUUUUUACAUUUAUCUAAAAAAUUUUUAAGUAAUGUUAUUUUUAUAAGAGAUCAUUACUACCAACAGACCUCACGGUGGCGAAGAAUAAGAAAGACAUCAAUUUAAGCUGAUGAUUAUUACUCGGGUGGAGUCUUGUUUGAGCAAACGAUGAAAUUAGAUCAGACAGGAACUAACUUCGGAGAUGACGGAACGGUAUAAACACGAUUAAGAAUAUGACCCACUCAUAUUACCAAUGCACCAACAAGAACUGAGUGUAUACAACUCUAUGAUUAUCAUAGAUUACCCAUAAGAAUUGUAUAAAUGCUUAUCGAAUAGAAAUAAACGUUCCAUUUUCGUUGU